This is a long non-coding RNA of Bacillus rossius redtenbacheri, 367 nucleotides long. RefSeq lists it as uncharacterized. The transcript has 2 exons. NCBI's taxonomy places the organism in Eukaryota, Metazoa, Arthropoda, Insecta, Phasmatodea, Bacillidae. The record is from RefSeq and is a predicted model, not a curated record.
CUCGUUUUUGCGACUGGGUGUCGAAACUUUGUAGCGUUGUCCGUGUUGCGUGAUUUGGUGUGAAGGACGACGCCGACCUCUGACGGAGAGUGACAGAGGGCUGGUGAUAGCUGUGAAGUGACGAGGGCGAGUGAUCGGUGCAUCGGAGACUGCGCGGUGCAGACGAGUGAGCAGCAAGAGGCAGUUGUGUCGGGACAGAGGCGAAGGCUAACACACCAGCAGUCGUGAGUAACUGUAGAGCCCAGCUCCACUGGAGAGAGUGAAUAGUGGAUUAUUUAUUAAAAGAAUUACUUUGUGGACAACUACAUUGCAUCAAUUUAAUUAAUAGCAUAAAUAUUAGUUAAUAAAUAAAACUGCAUUUAAUCAA